Molecule: ribosomal RNA, 441 nt
Filed under: uncultured bacterium
Lineage: Bacteria
Description: partial 16S ribosomal RNA
Rfam family: Bacterial small subunit ribosomal RNA
Source: RNAcentral
CCUACGGGGGCUGCAGUUGGGAAUCUUGCACAAUGGGGGAAACCCUGAUGCAGCGACGCCGCGGGGAGGAAGAAGGGUCUAGGCUCGUAAACUCCUUUUUCAGGGAAAGACUUAGGACGGUACCCUGAGAAUAAGCUCCGGCUAACUACGUGCCAGCAGCCGCGGUAAGACGUAGGGAGCGAGCGUUGUCCGGAUUUACUGGGCGUAAAGAGCACGUAGGCGGUCUGUUAAGUGAGAAGUGAAAUCUCCAGCUCUCAACGCGGCAACGUCUUUUCAUACUGGCAGACUUGCGGGAUGCAGAGGCAAGUCGAAUUCCUGGUGUACCGGUGCCAUGGGUUGAUAUCAGGAGGAAUACCAAUGGCGAAGGCAGCUUGCUGGGCAUCAUCUGACGCUGAGGUGCGAAAGCGUGGGUAGCAAACAGGAUUAGAUACCCUAGUCGUC